UUGGAGGGCAAGUCUGGUGCCAGCAGCCGCGGUAAUUCCAGCUCCAAUAGCGUAUAUUAAAGUUGUUGCAGUUAAAAAGCUCGUAGUUGAAUUUCGAGAUCAGUACGCUGGUCGUGCCUUCGGUAUGCACUGGUGUCACUGGUUUCUCCCCUCUGAAGAACUGUCAUGUCAUUAAGUUGGUGUGGCGGGGAAUCAGGACUGUUACUUUGAAAAAAUUAGAGUGUUUAAAGCAGGCUCGCGCUUGAAUACAUUAGCAUGGAAUAAUGAAAUAGGACGUUUGACCCUAUUUUGUUGGUUUCUAGGAUCGACGUAAUGAUUAAUAGGGAUAGUUGGGGGCAUUAGUAUUCAAUUGUCAGAGGUGAAAUUCUUGGAUUUAUUGAAGACUAACUACUGCGAAAGCAUUUGCCAAGGAUGUUUUCAUUAAUCAAGAACGAAAGUUAGGGGAUCGAAGACGAUCAGAUACCGUCGUAGUCUUAACCAUAAACUAUGCCGACUAGGGAUCGGAUGAUGUUAAUUUUUUAAUGACUCAUUCGGCGCCUUACGGGAAAC
RNAcentral lists this ribosomal RNA (549 nucleotides) under uncultured Glomeromycotina. Its description in RNAcentral is "SSU rRNA". It matches the Rfam family "Eukaryotic small subunit ribosomal RNA", at positions 548 to 1098 of the family's 1831-position model. The record is from RNAcentral. Lineage: Eukaryota; Fungi; Glomeromycota.